CUGUGCGACCCACCAGCAUUUUAUCGGAUUUUUGCAUCCCUAACAAACUAGACUUAAACACUGUGUGGAGGAUUCAAAGGGACUUUGACUAAGAGGCUCGUAUCACACGGAAAGUAGCCGAAAAAUCUUUACCGAGAAGUCCCUGGUUACUAGUCUAUGACGUCAGAAGGUAACAGCUCGUGACUACAAUAGAAACAACUAGGUAAUGUUUGUUCCGAAUUAAAUUUUGAAAUCAUGGCGAAUCUGCUAUCCUUGGAUAACAAAGUCUUUGCCUCGUAUGUUUUCUAUGCUGCAGUGUUAAUCCUUAAGAUCUUUGCUGUUGUUUUCUUGAUAGUAUAUUAUCGUCUUACAAGGAAGGUUUUCCCGUCUGAAG
RNAcentral lists this long non-coding RNA (373 nucleotides) under Exaiptasia diaphana. RNAcentral describes it as "uncharacterized LOC114575846, transcript variant X2". The record is from RNAcentral. Lineage: Eukaryota; Metazoa; Cnidaria; Anthozoa; Actiniaria; Aiptasiidae.